RNAcentral lists this ribosomal RNA (484 nucleotides) under uncultured bacterium. RNAcentral describes it as "partial 16S ribosomal RNA". It matches the Rfam family "Bacterial small subunit ribosomal RNA", at positions 29 to 507 of the family's 1533-position model. The record is from RNAcentral.
AUUGAACGCUGGCGGCAUGCUUUACACAUGCAAGUCGAACGGCAGCGCGGGCUUCGGCCUGGCGGCGAGUGGCGAACGGGUGAGUAAUACAUCGGAACGUGCCCAGUAGUGGGGGAUAGCUCGGCGAAGGCCGGAUUAAUACCGCAUACGACCUGAGGGUGAAAGCGGGGGAUCUUCGGACCUCGCGCUAUUGGAGCGGCCGAUGGCAGAUUAGCUAGUUGGUGGGGUAAAGGCCUACCAAGGCGACGAUCUGUAGCUGGUCUGAGAGGACGACCAGCCACACUGGGACUGAGACACGGCCCAGACUCCUACGGGAGGCAGCAGUGGGGAAUUUUGGACAAUGGGCGAAAGCCUGAUCCAGCAAUGCCGCGUGUGUGAUGAAGGCCUUCGGGUUGUAAAGCACUUUUGGCGGGAACGAAAAGGACUGUGCCAAUACCACGGUUCGAUGACGGUACCCGCAGAAUAAGCACCGGCUAACUACAUG